GACGAACGCUGGCGGCGUGCUUAACACAUGCAAGUCGAACGGAAAGGCCCUGCUUUUGUGGGGUGCUCGAGUGGCGAACGGGUGAGUAACACGUGAGUAACCUGCCCUUGACUUUGGGAUAACUUCAGGAAACUGGGGCUAAUACCGGAUAGGAGCUCCUGCUGCAUGGUGGGGGUUGGAAAGUUUCGGCGGUUGGGGAUGGACUCGCGGCUUAUCAGCUUGUUGGUGGGGUAGUGGCUUACCAAGGCUGUGACGGGUAGCCGGCCUGAGAGGGUGACCGGCCACAUUGGGACUGCGAUACGGCCCAGACUCCUACGGGAGGCAGCAGUGGGGAAUAUUGCACAAUGGGCGGAAGCCUGAUGCAGCAACGCCGCGUGCGGGAUGACGGCCUUCGGGUUGUAAACCGCUUUCGCCUGUGACGAAGCGUGAGUGACGGUAAUGGGUAAAGAAGCACCGGCUAACUACGUG
RNAcentral lists this ribosomal RNA (468 nucleotides) under uncultured bacterium. RNAcentral's name for it is "partial 16S ribosomal RNA". It matches the Rfam family "Bacterial small subunit ribosomal RNA", at positions 28 to 507 of the family's 1533-position model. The record is from RNAcentral.